This 344-nucleotide ribosomal RNA is filed under the name uncultured soil bacterium. Its description in RNAcentral is "bacterial SSU rRNA". It matches the Rfam family "Bacterial small subunit ribosomal RNA", at positions 8 to 352 of the family's 1533-position model. The record is from RNAcentral.
AGAGUUUGAUCAUGGCUCAGAUUGAACGCUGGCGGCGUGCCUAACACAUGCAAGUCGAGCGGUAACAGGUGUAGCAAUACAUGCUGACGAGCGGCGGACGGGUGAGCAAUGUUUGGGAAUCUGCCUACUAGUGGGGGACAACCCGGGGUAACUCGGGCUAAUACCGCAUACGCUCCAUGGAGGAAAGCCGGGGACCGCAAGGCCUGGCGCUAGUAGAUGAGCCCAAAUCGGAUUAGCUAGUUGGUGGGGUAACGGCCCACCAAGGCGACGAUCCGUAGCUGGUUUGAGAGAACGACCAGCCACACCGGGACUGAGACACGGUCCGGACUCCUACGGGAGGCAGC